Molecule: ribosomal RNA, 459 nt
Filed under: uncultured bacterium
Lineage: Bacteria
Description: partial 16S ribosomal RNA
Rfam family: Bacterial small subunit ribosomal RNA
Source: RNAcentral
CCUACGGGAGGCAGCAGUGAGGAAUAUUGGUCAAUGGCCGUAAGGCUGAACCAGCCAAGUCGCGUGAAGGAAGAAGGAUCUAUGGUUUGUAAACUUCUUUUAUAGGGGAAUAAAGGUAUCCACGUGUGGAUAUUUGCAUGUACCCUAUGAAUAAGCACCGGCUAACUCCGUGCCAGCAGCCGCGGUAAUACGGAGGAUGCGAGCGUUAUCCGGAUUUAUUGGGUUUAAAGGGUGGGCAGGCGGAUUGUUAGGUCAGCGGUAAAAUCUUGGGGCUAAACCCCGUCCAGCCGUUGAUACUGGGGAUCUUGAGUGUGCGAGAGGUAUGCGGAAUGCGUGGUGUAGCGGUGAAAUGCGUAGAUAUGACGAAGAACCCCGAUUGCGAAGGCAGCAUACUGGAGCACAACUGACGCUCAGGCACGAAAGCGUGGGUAUCGAACAGGAUUAGAUACCCCUGUAGUC